RNAcentral lists this ribosomal RNA (256 nucleotides) under uncultured bacterium. RNAcentral's name for it is "partial small subunit ribosomal RNA". It matches the Rfam family "Bacterial small subunit ribosomal RNA", at positions 26 to 285 of the family's 1533-position model. The record is from RNAcentral.
AGGACGAACGCUGGCGGCGUGCUUAACACAUGCAAGUCGAGCGGAAAGGCCCUUCGGGGUACUCGAGCGGCGAACGGGUGAGUAACACGUGAGCAACCUGCCCUUAGCUUCGGGAUAGCUCCGGGAAACCGGAAAUUAAUACCGAAUAUGACUGCGGCUGACAUCAGCCACGGUGGAAAGUUUUUUCGGCUAGGGAUGGACUCGCGGCCUAUCAGCUAGUUGGUGAGGUAACGGCCCACCAAGGCGACGACGGGUA